RNAcentral lists this ribosomal RNA (482 nucleotides) under uncultured bacterium. RNAcentral's name for it is "partial 16S ribosomal RNA". It matches the Rfam family "Bacterial small subunit ribosomal RNA", at positions 30 to 507 of the family's 1533-position model. The record is from RNAcentral.
AUUGAACGCUGGCGGCAUGCCUUACACAUGCAAGUCGAACGGUAACGGGCCUUCGGGUGCCGACGAGUGGCGAACGGGUGAGUAAUACAUCGGAACGUGCCCGAUCGUGGGGGAUAACGAGGCGAAAGCUUUGCUAAUACCGCAUACGAUCUACGGAUGAAAGCAGGGGACCGCAAGGCCUUGCGCGGACGGAGCGGCCGAUGGCAGAUUAGGUAGUUGGUGUGAUAAAAGCUUACCAAGCCGACGAUCUGUAGCUGGUCUGAGAGGAUGAUCAGCCACACUGGGACUGAGACACGGCCCAGACUCCUACGGGAGGCAGCAGUGGGGAAUUUUGGACAAUGGGCGCAAGCCUGAUCCAGCCAUGCCGCGUGCAGGAUGAAGGCCUUCGGGUUGUAAACUGCUUUUGUACGGAACGAAAAGCCUUCUUUUAAUACAGGAGGGUCAUGACGGUACCGUAAGAAUAAGCACCGGCUAACUACGUG